UCCUUCGUUGUGUAGUGGUCAGCACGCUCGACGUGUAACCGAGAGGCCCAUGGUUCGAGUCCAGGCGAAGGCG
Molecule: transfer RNA, 73 nt
Filed under: Stegodyphus mimosarum
Lineage: Eukaryota; Metazoa; Arthropoda; Arachnida; Araneae; Eresidae
Rfam family: tRNA
About the family: Transfer RNA (tRNA) molecules are approximately 80 nucleotides in length. Their secondary structure includes four short double-helical elements and three loops (D, anti-codon, and T loops).
Source: Rfam by way of RNAcentral